Molecule: transfer RNA, 71 nt
Filed under: uncultured Flexilinea sp.
Lineage: Bacteria; Bacillati; Chloroflexota; Anaerolineae; Anaerolineales; Anaerolineaceae
Rfam family: tRNA
About the family: Transfer RNA (tRNA) molecules are approximately 80 nucleotides in length. Their secondary structure includes four short double-helical elements and three loops (D, anti-codon, and T loops).
Source: RNAcentral
GCGAGGUAGCUCAGUGGCCAGAGCAGGGGACUCAUAAGCCCUUUGUCGAGGGUUCGACUCCCUCCCUCGCC